CCUACGGGUGGCAGCAGUGAGGAAUAUUGGUCAAUGGCCGUAAGGCUGAACCAGCCAAGUCGCGUGAAGGAAGAAGGAUCUAUGGUUUGUAAACUUCUUUUAUAGGGGAAUAAAGGUAUCCACGUGUGGAUCUUUGCAUGUACCCUAUGAAUAAGCAUCGGCUAACUCCGUGCCAGCAGCCGCGGUAAUACGGAGGAUGCGAGCGGUAUCCGGAUUUAUUGGGUUUAAGGGGUGCGUAGGUUGUUUUUUAAGUCAGCGGUGAAAGUUUGUGGCUCAACCAUAAAAUUGCCGUUGAAACUGGAAGACUGGAGUGUGUUUGAGGUAGGCGGAAUGCGAGGUGUAGGGGUGAAAUCCAUAGAUAUCACGCGGAACACCGAUUGCGAAGGCAACUAACUGGGCCAUAACUGACACUGAGGAGCGAAAGCGUGGGGAUCAAACAGGAUUAGAUACCCGGGUAGUC
RNAcentral lists this ribosomal RNA (460 nucleotides) under uncultured bacterium. Its description in RNAcentral is "partial 16S ribosomal RNA". It matches the Rfam family "Bacterial small subunit ribosomal RNA", at positions 338 to 795 of the family's 1533-position model. The record is from RNAcentral.